UGAAAAAUAAGAAAACAUAACCUUAUUGGAAAUUAUGAUACACUAUUUUUUUAAUUAAUUUAUUAAAGUUAAUUUGUUAACUGCAUAUUUAGUAUGACAGUUCUGUCAAGUUUACUAUGACACCUUUCAAAAAAAAUUGCAUCAAUUCAUCUCCUUGUCGCUAGGAGGCGCCAAAUAUGUAAAACAGUACUACCAGACUUAUUUACCUCCAGGUUAAUUCAAAACUUAAAAGUCUUAAAUUACUGUAAGACAAAUAUAUAAAUGCCUUUUUUGGCUGUUAUAGUUGUGUUAAAAUUAAUUUUUGGACGAUUCUGUUUUUUUAAACGCGACACGGAAAGACUCUUCCUCCUUCCUGAGCAUCCGGAUGGUGUUUAUUUACCAAGAGUAGCAAGAGAUACUGGAAAAGACAAUUACUCCACUGGCAGUGGGCACUGAUCCUGCACAAAACCGAUUCAUUCAGUCUGCCUGUUUGCUGAUUGUGGAUUUAAUGAACCUUUAGUAAAAUUGUGAAUGGAUUACUUGUGCCCCACAGUAUUAUGUUGCCUUUUUUCCAAAGUUUGUUAACCAGAUAUGUGAUAUCUUUUAUAGCCGACAAUUAUUUUAAGUUUUAAAACUUUUAAAAAAUAUUUUACCCCGUUAUUUGCACAUUGACUUUUUACAUUUCUUUCUUUCUUUUUUUUUCUUUACAAGGCUAUCCACACCGACAUAACAAGCAUUUCUUUUUAUGUAGUUUAUAGUAUAUAAUUGAUAUAUUGAUACUCUGUAUAUAUAUAUAUAUGUGAAUUUGCAUAAACAAUUCGCCUUUCUUGAGUGCUGUCCAUUUUUAGCACAAAAUAGAUAUUUUGC
This 846-nucleotide long non-coding RNA is filed under the name Carassius auratus (goldfish). Its description in RNAcentral is "lncRNA (ENSCARG00000050824.1)". Lineage: Eukaryota; Metazoa; Chordata; Actinopteri; Cypriniformes; Cyprinidae. The record is from RNAcentral.